Molecule: long non-coding RNA, 124 nt
Organism: Melospiza melodia melodia
Lineage: Eukaryota; Metazoa; Chordata; Aves; Passeriformes; Passerellidae
Exons: 3
Source: RefSeq, a predicted model, not a curated record
GUGUGGCAGAGGCAGAACAGUGAGAGACUCCCAGCAGCUCUGAGCUUGGCCCACAUUUCCAAACCCCUGAGCCAAUCUCAAUCCCCAGGAGCCCAGGGCAGGUGAGACCCUAAAGCAAGGAGGA